Molecule: transfer RNA, 68 nt
Filed under: Cryptonome barbada
Lineage: Eukaryota; Metazoa; Annelida; Polychaeta; Eunicida; Amphinomidae
Description: tRNA-Thr
Source: RNAcentral
GCCACAAAAGCUCCUAACCCUGAGCGUUGGUCUUGUAAGCCAAAAGCAGGACACCAGUCCUUGUGGCU